Molecule: long non-coding RNA, 563 nt
Filed under: Homo sapiens (human)
Lineage: Eukaryota; Metazoa; Chordata; Mammalia; Primates; Hominidae
Description: novel transcript
Source: RNAcentral
AGGCUUCACUGGGCAGGGUUUGGACUGGUCCAUCAGGGAAGGGCAUGGUCUUCCAUCACCUUGAAAGGGCUGGGUCACUGUUCGUCUUCGGAUCAUUUUUCCUUGAAGAGAUACAAAGUGAUGCACCUUUAAUAUAUGUUAUGGUUUUGCAAGCAUAUAUCUCAUUGGGAGAAGGCAUCACAGUGAUAUCUCCUGAGGCAAUCCAGGAACAAAUCUAUUGAGGCUCCUACUUAUCUUGGUUGGUAUUUGACCCAGUGGACCUCAGAUGCAUGGAGAGUCAACAUUUGUCAUGUUUUUGGGCUCUACCUGGACCUGCCAACCCAGUUCCUGUGCGCCCCUCAGAAGAAUUCAGCCUGCAGGAGGACAGCUUUGACCCCUGUGAUUUCAUCUCUGCCCCAACCAAUCAGCAGCAAGCACCCAUUCCCUGGCAGUCCCACCCCUUCCCCCAAACUGCCUUUGAAAAACCCCUACCUAGGAGCCUUAGACAAUAUUGAUUUGAGUACUAACUCCAUCUUCCAUGUGGCAUGGCUGGCCUUAUGUCUAUUAAACUCUUUCUUUACUGC